Molecule: ribosomal RNA, 1369 nt
Filed under: uncultured bacterium
Lineage: Bacteria
Description: bacterial SSU rRNA
Rfam family: Bacterial small subunit ribosomal RNA
Source: RNAcentral
GACGAACGCUGGCGGCGUGCCUAAUACAUGCAAGUAGAACGCUGAAGAGAGGAGCUUGCUCUUCUUGGAUGAGUUGCGAACGGGUGAGUAACGCGUAGGUAACCUGCCUUGUAGCGGGGGAUAACUAUUGGAAACGAUAGCUAAUACCGCAUAACAAUGGAUGACACAUGUCAUUUAUUUGAAAGGGGCAAUUGCUCCACUACAAGAUGGACCUGCGUUGUAUUAGCUAGUAGGUGAGGUAACGGCUCACCUAGGCGACGAUACAUAGCCGACCUGAGAGGGUGAUCGGCCACACUGGGACUGAGACACGGCCCAGACUCCUACGGGAGGCAGCAGUAGGGAAUCUUCGGCAAUGGGGGCAACCCUGACCGAGCAACGCCGCGUGAGUGAAGAAGGUUUUCGGAUCGUAAAGCUCUGUUGUAAGUCAAGAACGAGUGUGAGAGUGGAAAGUUCACACUGUGACGGUAGCUUACCAGAAAGGGACGGCUAACUACGUGCCAGCAGCCGCGGUAGUACGUAGGUCCCGAGCGUCGUCCGGAUUUAUUGGGCGUAAAGCGAGCGCAGGCGGUUUGAUAAGUCUGAAGUUAAAGGCUGUGGCUCAACCAUAGUUCGCUUUGGAAACUGUCAAACUUGAGUGCAGAAGGGGAGAGUGGAAUUCCAUGUGUAGCGGUGAAAUGCGUAGAUAUAUGGAGGAACACCGGUGGCGAAAGCGGCUCUCUGGUCUGUAACUGACGCUGAGGCUCGAAAGCGUGGGGAGCGAACAGGAUUAGAUACCCUGGUAGUCCACGCCGUAAACGAUGAGUGCUAGGUGUUGGAUCCUUUCCGGGAUUCAGUGCCGCAGCUAACGCAUUAAGCACUCCGCCUGGGGAGUACGACCGCAAGGUUGAAACUCAAAGGAAUUGACGGGGGCCCGCACAAGCGGUGGAGCAUGUGGUUUAAUUCGAAGCAACGCGAAGAACCUUACCAGGUCUUGACAUCCCGAUGCUAUUUCUAGAGAUAGAAAGUUACUUCGGUGCAUCGGUGACAGGUGGUGCAUGGUUGUCGUCAGCUCGUGUCGUGAGAUGUUGGGUUAAGUCCCGCAACGAGCGCAACCCCUAUUGUUAGUUGCCAUCAUUCAGUUGGGCACUCUAGCGAGACUGCCGGUAAUAAACCGGAGGAAGGUGGGGAUGACGUCAAAUCAUCAUGCCCCUUAUGACCUGGGCUACACACGUGCUACAAUGGUUGGUACAACGAGUUGCGAGUCGGUGACGGCAAGCUAAUCUCUUAAAGCCAAUCUCAGUUCGGAUUGUAGGCUGCAACUCGCCUACAUGAAGUCGGAAUCGCUAGUAAUCGCGGAUCAGCACGCCGCGGUGAAUACGUUCCCGGGCCU